This is a long non-coding RNA of Raphanus sativus (radish), 705 nucleotides long. RefSeq lists it as uncharacterized. The transcript has 2 exons. NCBI's taxonomy places the organism in Eukaryota, Viridiplantae, Streptophyta, Magnoliopsida, Brassicales, Brassicaceae. The record is from RefSeq and is a predicted model, not a curated record.
UGAGAUCGCUGCAGGUUGUUGUUCAAUUUGUCUUUUACAUAUGUAUAACAAUGUUUAAUACGUACAUGAGACUUCUGACUCUUUCUAUUUGUUUUCGUGUUGCCUUAGUGUACAAUCUUUUGAACACGGAUAGGGACAACUUCAAUUUGCACAUCUGGUAUAAUCUAACAUACAACGAAGGCUCAAAUGAUGGGCCUUCAACGUUGCUUCAAGUUCCCGGCUUGGUCAAUCUGGUGACCUCAUGCUGGCUUGAGCAAUCGAAUCAAAUGGAUCCGAUUUGACACAAUACUGUUGUAGGAUCACAAACAGCAAGAUGCAGAAUGGUUAGACAGCAUAGCAAUCGGCUUAUCAAGAGAUACACUAAACAGCAAUUAUCUUACUUACUCUUGGAGAGCAGAGCAUAUUUUUGCAGAAGGGACACCUCAGAAGCUAGCUGAUCGUUUCAACUAUGGUUGAGGCCUUGUGAAUCCAGAUAGAGCUGCAAAACCUGGUUAUUUCUAUGACUUAGCCCUGAAGACUCUGUUCUCCAUAUGUGCUCUUGUGCUUACAACGAGUCAUUCUCUUACUGUUGUCGUUGGGCAUUCAAGUGACCCGUGACGGCAGAGAUGUUAGUGUUUUCUAAAGUAAGAGUCUUAACAUCGAGAUAUGUUACUUAUACUCUUCAAGUGAUUCUUCUCUACAUAAUAACGUCAGGGUUCCUUACUA